RNAcentral lists this ribosomal RNA (1372 nucleotides) under uncultured bacterium. RNAcentral's name for it is "bacterial SSU rRNA". It matches the Rfam family "Bacterial small subunit ribosomal RNA", at positions 28 to 1381 of the family's 1533-position model. The record is from RNAcentral.
GAUGAACGCUGGCGGCGUGCCUAAUACAUGCAAGUCGAGCGAACGGACGAGAAGCUUGCUUCUCUGAUGUUAGCGGCGGACGGGUGAGUAACACGUGGAUAACCUACCUAUAAGACUGGGAUAACUUCGGGAAACCGGAGCUAAUACCGGAUAAUAUUUUGAACCGCAUGGUUCAAAAGUGAAAGACGGUCUUGCUGUCACUUAUAGAUGGAUCCGCGCUGCAUUAGCUAGUUGGUAAGGUAACGGCUUACCAAGGCAACGAUGCAUAGCCGACCUGAGAGGGUGAUCGGCCACACUGGAACUGAGACACGGUCCAGACUCCUACGGGAGGCAGCAGUAGGGAAUCUUCCGCAAUGGGCGAAAGCCUGACGGAGCAACGCCGCGUGAGUGAUGAAGGUCUUCGGAUCGUAAAACUCUGUUAUUAGGGAAGAACAUAUGUGUAAGUAACUGUGCACAUCUUGACGGUACCUAAUCAGAAAGCCCCGGCUAACUACGUGCCCGCAGCCGCGGUAAUACGUAGGUGGCAAGCGUUAUCCGGGAUUAUUGGGCGUAAAGCGCGCGUAAGCCGGUUUUUUAGUCUGAUGUGAAAGCCCACGGCUCAACCUUGGAGGGUCAUUGGAAACUGGAAAACUUGAGUGCAGAAGAGGAAAGUGGAAUUCCAUGUGUAGCGGUGAAAUGCGCAGAGAUAUGGAGGAACACCAGUGGCGAAGGCGACUUUCUGGUCUGUAACUGACGCUGAUGUGCGAAAGCGUGGGGAUCAAACAGGAUUAGAUACCCUGGUAGUCCACGCCGUAAACGAUGAGUGCUAAGUGUUAGGGGGUUUCCGCCCCUUAGUGCUGCAGCUAACGCAUUAAGCACUCCGCCUGGGGAGUACGACCGCAAGGUUGAAACUCAAAGGAAUUGACGGGGACCCGCACAAGCGGUGGAGCAUGUGGCUUAAUUCGAAGCAACGCGAAGAACCUUACCAAAUCUUGACAUCCUUUGACAACUCUAGAGAUAGAGCCUUCCCCUUCGGGGGACAAAGUGACAGGUGGUGCAUGGUUGUCGUCAGCUCGUGUCGUGAGAUGUUGGGUUAAGUCCCGCAACGAGCGCAACCCUUAAGCUUAGUUGCCAUCAUUAAGUUGGGCACUCUAAGUUGACUGCCGGUGACAAACCGGAGGAAGGUGGGGAUGACGUCAAAUCAUCAUGCCCCUUAUGAUUUGGGCUACACACGUGCUACAAUGGACAAUACAAAGGGCAGCGAAACCGCGAGGUCAAGCAAAUCCCAUAAAGUUGUUCUCAGUUCGGAUUGUAGUCUGCAACUCGACUACAUGAAGCUGGAAUCGCUAGUAAUCGUAGAUCAGCAUGCUACGGUGAAUACGUUCCCGGGUCU